GGGGAAGAAAGUGGUUUAAGAAACGAGCAAGUGAACGAACAAAAAAAGAGGGUGAGAAAAGGAGAGGAAAGUAGAUUUAAUUUUACCAGCCAGGUGGCCUGUGAUUUCACCA
Sander lucioperca (pikeperch) is the source of this 112-nucleotide long non-coding RNA. RefSeq lists it as uncharacterized. NCBI's taxonomy places the organism in Eukaryota, Metazoa, Chordata, Actinopteri, Perciformes, Percidae. The record is from RefSeq and is a predicted model, not a curated record. The transcript has 2 exons.